GUUUGCUUUGACAGGUACUUAAAAUUGCAUUUUGUUGUCUCCUUUACUGGGUGUUUUAUAUAUUAUUGGUUUUAUGUACUUAUGUUCUUUCUAAUAUUUUCUGGUUGUGGUUGUUCCAUUGUGAGUUACGCCAAGUGAUUUGACUCAAUUUAAACCCUUUCUAUGUCGUUUAUAAUAUAGAAUAAACAUGAAUUACUACUAGCACAACUUGCGAGAUUUGCAGAUCAUCACGGGACAGGACUUACAAGGUUUACUUGAUCUUGUCAUAAUUUGCUUCAUGCAACACCUUCUAUACGUGUCUCUUGUAAAGUUCAGUCAUUGGAUUUUCCACCGAAAAUUUUAAAAAUUAAAAUUUAUAUCACUGGUCUGCGUACCUUGAAAGUCAGGGAAUCCUGUAAUGAAGACAGCAACUGAGAGCUGAACGACAAGUCUUGACGAAAUACCAAGUCAGAAUAUGUCAUCAAGAAAAGCUUGAGGAUUCACCUUUGCGUAAGCUCAGUUACCGGAGGCUGAUCAACCUUGUCCAGAUCGUUCAUUUUGUUUAGCAUUUUUCCAUUCUCAGUCUUUGGCUUAACAGAUCUAUAAUGUGAACAAAUGCUGCAACUGUUAUUUUAUAUAAUAAGCAAUUACCAAAUUUAGAAUAUCACAACAAAUUAUUGGCAUGACGCUUUCUACCUUUGCAGAUUACUUGCAAUCAGAGAGGAUUCAAAUACAGAAGCUUUGGGGCUCUACAUGGCCAAGUCCUUGAACUUAUACAACAUUCUCUACACCCAUGUGAUUGAGCCGAGGUUGAAUACGAGAUUACUGAGUGCCUUCAGAUUCAAGCAUUCAAUAAUUCAAGCAUAAGUGAAGAACAUGAGAAGAAAGAAGCUAAUGUGGUUUUUUUUCUCUCCAAGAAAUGACUAGUGCUUAACUAAUGCAAAUGCACAAUUCAAUAAUUUCUUAAUUUUUCGAUAUAUUCAUAGAUUGUGCUCCAUUUUCUUUCAUCACAACAUUUGUGGGCACUUGAUUCACGAAUCUGUUUUAGGACCCUAGCAUACCAAAACCCAUUUAUUCAAAAAAUUAGGGAUUAAUUUCAAGAGACUUGAACACAUGUGACAUGACCGAUAUAUCGAUAAUAAAAUCGUUUAGUACUCGAACACAACCUCAAGGGUUUCAAAUUUUUAGACAUUGAAGCCGACUAUUAAUAUACACACAUGUCAAUUAUAGUUUGUGAAAUUAAUCGAAUCCAAUUCAGACCUCAAUUUCUUCCGCAAUGCCACAAGACUCGAUCUCAUCUUCUUCCGCAAUUCCUUCCGCAAUUCCACAGGAACAUCUCGCAUUGAAUCACAAGACACCGAACUUGGCAUCUCAUCAAACGCAUACAACGCCGCCGUCUCAUUUACAUAACUUUCAACAACACAAGCUGUAUGUCAUCCACGUAAACAAUAUAAGGAUUGAUUGUGUAUAUGUAUUAAGAUUGUUUCUAGAGAGAGACAUCUUACCUGAUGUAACAAUGAGUAUGAAGAGCAAUAAGCUUUUCUCCAUUUUCACACCCCGAUAUUGUUUACUCAUUCCCUG
Molecule: long non-coding RNA, 1560 nt
Filed under: Daucus carota (carrot)
Lineage: Eukaryota; Viridiplantae; Streptophyta; Magnoliopsida; Apiales; Apiaceae
Description: long non-coding RNA (DCAR_LNC003976)
Source: RNAcentral